Loxodonta africana (African savanna elephant) is the source of this 71-nucleotide transfer RNA. It matches the Rfam family "tRNA". From Rfam's summary of the family: Transfer RNA (tRNA) molecules are approximately 80 nucleotides in length. Their secondary structure includes four short double-helical elements and three loops (D, anti-codon, and T loops). Lineage: Eukaryota; Metazoa; Chordata; Mammalia; Proboscidea; Elephantidae. The record is from Rfam.
GCAGUGGCGGUUCAGUGGUAAAAUUCUCGUCUUCCAUGUGGGAGACCUGGGUUCAAUUCCCAGCCAAUGCA